RNAcentral lists this small RNA (321 nucleotides) under Drosophila ananassae. RNAcentral describes it as "GF26857". The record is from RNAcentral. Lineage: Eukaryota; Metazoa; Arthropoda; Insecta; Diptera; Drosophilidae.
UGGGCGAUAUUUUUCUAAGUGCGGGAAUCGAUAGUAGCUUUAAAGUAUGGCAACUCCCCCACCCUAUUUAUUCUAGUGCAUUUAGUUGAAUUGAACGUGUUGAAUUGCAUUUUAACAAAAGAAAUCUACUAAUAAUACUAAUUAUAAUUAGUGGGUAGAAUUACUAGAAUAAAGAAGAAAUUGUCGCAUUGUUUUGAUGUUUAUAAUCAACAAGGAGUGAUUUUUCCACCUACGACGACUUCAUUAGGGCCAUCCGGGAUGGAAUAAGGAGAGCCAAAAAUAAAAAUUAUAAGGAAAAAUCCAAAAAAAACAAAGAAAAUU